This 23-nucleotide microRNA is filed under the name Salmo salar (Atlantic salmon). RNAcentral's name for it is "ssa-miR-20a-3-3p". Its record names the gene ssa-miR-20a-3-3p. The record is from miRBase by way of RNAcentral. Lineage: Eukaryota; Metazoa; Chordata; Actinopteri; Salmoniformes; Salmonidae.
ACUGCAGUGUGAGCACUUGAUGU